RNA transcript from Camelina sativa (false flax), 1138 nucleotides. It is a transcript of the gene named QWRF motif-containing protein 9-like, with no coding region annotated. The record is from RefSeq and is a predicted model, not a curated record. NCBI's taxonomy places the organism in Eukaryota, Viridiplantae, Streptophyta, Magnoliopsida, Brassicales, Brassicaceae.
AUAAGCCCUUCGAGAGGCGUGGUUCCUCCCAGAGGGAUUAGUCCUUCAGGCAGGAUGAGCCCACUAAGAUUGAGAAUCCCCCUGACUAAAACCACACCUUUAGUUCUGAAUUUUUGUUUUGGAUGUUAUAGACAAGAUCAGAGAUAAUGGGGUUGCUGAUGCUCACUUGUUAAAGCUAUUACAUCAACAAUAGGUUGCUACAGUGGCGAUUUGCUAAUCCACGAGCAAAUGCUGUUAUCUCGAAAAGAUUGUACAAUUCAUGGAUAAGAAUCUCUAAGCUGUAUGAUUCUGUAAGAACGAAAAAAAUUGACACCUGAAGCAGAACUUGAAACUGAUAUCUAUUCUCAAAUAGGCAGAUAUAGAUGGGACAUCUGGAAGAGUGGUUGGUUAUGGACCGGGAUUAUAUGGGUUCUUUGGUAGGAGCUGCUGAAGCGUUGAAAGGCAGCACGCUCUGUCUACCUGUUGAUUGCGGGGAAAAAUGGUAAACGUACACAGUGUUAAGGAUGCCAUUUGCUCAGCAGUUGAUGUUGUGCAGGCAAUGGCAUCGUCCAUGUGCUUGUUGCUGCCAAAGGUUGGGAAGAUAAGCAGCUUGGCAGCAGAACUUGGUAGUGCAAAUGUCAAGGAGGAAGGGAUGCUGGACGUGUGCCGGGACCUCCUAAACACAAUCUCACCUCUGCAGGUUUAGGUUGGAUGGAUUCCCUCGUUUGUAGCAACCAGCCAAUCUAAGAAUUUCUUUCUUUAAAGGGCUUUUCUCUCCGUCUCUCUCUUUACUUGGCUGGCAAGGUUUCGAGCUCUGAUGAGGUUGAAAUAGCAAUUAGCAACCACAACAGGUGGACAUGUGUUAGGACCGACUGAUGAACUGGCUCACUAGGAAUCAGUUUGUGACAAUGGCACAAUGCGAUGCUUGAACCGUGGGACAAUCCUUGAAACGUGUCAACCCCUAGUGUCCCAAGCAAUCACUGAGUCUCAUUCUUUCAUCUCUCCCGCAACCAUCUUCUCUGCCAUACUAUGCUCUAAAAGCCUCAUGAUGGAUCUUCUCAACGGUAUGGGGUUAUAACCUUCGCAUACUAGCUACUCGAUCUCUCUUUGAAUCUUUCAUUCACAUCACAUGAAGCUAACAACGAGAGAUGGCAGCAAA